AUGGAAGGAGACGGCAACGAGAUCUCGCGUCUGCCGGAGGAGCUCCUCGCAUCGAUCCUCUCCCGCACGUCGCCGCCGGACGCCGGACGCUGUGCCGCUGUCUCCCGGGCCUUUCUUGCCGCCGCGGACUCCGAUGUCGUCUGGUCCUGCUUCCUGCCCCGUGACCUCCCACGGCUCGCUGAAGGUGUGCUCCCCCACGCGCCGCUGUCCAAGAAGGGCUUGUUCCGAUGCCUCUCCGAUCAACCGGCGCUCCUCCCAGGCAACCUCGUGAGCAUGUGGCUGGACAAAAAGACAGGCGCCAUGUGCUACAUGCUCUCGGCGAGGUCGAAGCAUAUUUCAUGGGGAGAGACAAUAGAUUACUGGGAACGGAUCAAGCUCGGUUCUGAUGAGAUCCAAGCAAACAACAGCUUCUGUGAAGCAGCUCAACUUCGGGGAGUUUGGUGGCUGUUAAUCCGUGGCGAAAUACAUAGCACAAUGCUCAGCCCAAACUCCAAGUAUGCUGCUUACAUGGUGUUGAAGCUAGCCGAUGAGUUCUUCAAUCUCGAUUUCCCGUUUCAAGAGGCAUCAAUCAGUGUUGGAGGGAUUGACGACUCAACACGCCAAGUUUGCCUCCAAGCCUACAUAGAGGACGGGGAUGACGGGGUACCUCGCAAACAUAUCUUGAGGUGUAGUUGGGAAGACUAUAUGCCUCAUACGAACUGUGAUGCAAUUCCUCUCACAGAAGAUGUUAUGCUCCCUCGAAAAAGGGCUGACGGCUGGAUGGAGGUCGAGCUUGGUGAGUUCUACAACGGAGAAGGCUGUGACAGCGAGGUGUCUGUGUGCCUAAAGGAAACAGAGGGAGGAGUUUGGAAGACUGGUCUUAUUGUGUGGGGUAUUGAGAUUAGAACUAAGAAAUGA
Molecule: ribosomal RNA, 897 nt
Filed under: Triticum aestivum (bread wheat)
Lineage: Eukaryota; Viridiplantae; Streptophyta; Magnoliopsida; Poales; Poaceae
Description: partial small subunit ribosomal RNA
Source: RNAcentral